This 431-nucleotide ribosomal RNA is filed under the name uncultured bacterium. RNAcentral's name for it is "partial 16S ribosomal RNA". It matches the Rfam family "Bacterial small subunit ribosomal RNA", at positions 338 to 795 of the family's 1533-position model. The record is from RNAcentral.
CCUACGGGUGGCAGCAGUGGGGAAUUUUGCGCAAUGGGCGAAAGCCUGACGCAGCAACGCCGCGUGUGUGAUGAAGGUCUUCGGAUUGUAAAGCACUUUCGACCGGGACGCGGUACCGGGAGAAGAAGCACCGGCUAACUCUGUGCCAGCAGCCGCGGUAAUACAGAGGGUGCAAGCGUUGUUCGGAAUUAUUGGGCGUAAAGCGCGUGUAGGCGGCUUUGCAAGUCGGGUGUGAAAGCCCUCAGCUCAACUGAGGAAGUGCGCCCGAAACUGCAGAGCUUGAGUGCCGGAGAGGGUAGCGGAAUUCCCCAAGUAGAGGUGAAAUUCGUAGAUAUGGGGAGGAACACCGGUGGCGAAGGCGGCUACCUGGACGUACUGACGCUGAGACGCGAAAGCGUGGGUAGCAAACAGGAUUAGAUACCCUUGUAGUC